Molecule: ribosomal RNA, 429 nt
Filed under: Chloroflexota bacterium
Lineage: Bacteria; Bacillati; Chloroflexota
Description: Chloroflexi bacterium partial 16S ribosomal RNA
Rfam family: Bacterial small subunit ribosomal RNA
Source: RNAcentral
UGGGGAAUAUUGCACAAUGGGCGCAAGCCUGAUGCAGCCUUGCCGCGUGUGUGAAGAAGGCCUUCGGGUUGUAAAGCACUUUCAGCGGGGAGGAAGGCGAUAAGGUUAAUAACCUUGUCGAUUGACGUUACCCGCAGAAGAAGCACCGGCUAACUCCGUGCCAGCAGCCGCGGUAAUACGUAGGGCGCGAGCGUUGUCCGGAAUUAUUGGGCGUAAAGGGCUUGUAGGCGGGUUGUUGCGCCUGCUGUGAAAACGCGGGGCUUAACUUCGCGCGUGCAGGGGGUAAGGGCAGGCUUGAGUGUGGUAGGGGUGACUGGAAUUCCAGGUGUAGCGGUGGAAUGCGCAGAUAUCUGGAGGAACACCGAUGGCGAAGGCAGGUCACUGAGCCAUUACUGACGCUGAGGAGCGAAAGCAUGGGUAGCGAACAGG